AUUGAACGCUGGCGGCAGGCCUAACACAUGCAAGUCGAACGAGUGGCGGACGGGUGAGUAAUGUCUGGGAAACUGCCUGAUGGAGGGGGAUAACUGCUGGAAAGGGUAGACAAUACCGCAUACCAUCGGAUGUGCCGAGAUGGGAUUAGCUAGUAGUUGGGGUAACGGCUCACCUAGGCGACGAUCCCUAGCUGGUCUGAGAGGAUGACCAGCCACAUUGGAACUGAGACACGGUCCAGACUCCGACGGGAGGCAGCAGUGGGGAAUAUUGCACAAUGGGCGCAAGCCUGAUGCAGCCAUGCCGCGUGUAUGAAGAAGGCCUUCGGGUUGUAAAGUACUUUCAGCGGGGAGGCGUUACCCGCAGAAGAAGCACCGGCUAACUCCGUGCCAGCCGCCGCGGUAAUUC
Molecule: ribosomal RNA, 406 nt
Filed under: uncultured bacterium
Lineage: Bacteria
Description: partial 16S ribosomal RNA
Rfam family: Bacterial small subunit ribosomal RNA
Source: RNAcentral